GUCACCUAGGGGAGUCUUAUUAAAAUGCAGAUUUUAAUACAGUCUGAGGUACCCCUGAGAUUCUGCAUUUCUAAUAAGCUCCCAGGCGAUGCUAA
Non-coding RNA from Papio anubis (olive baboon), 95 nucleotides. The record is from Rfam. Lineage: Eukaryota; Metazoa; Chordata; Mammalia; Primates; Cercopithecidae.